Long non-coding RNA from Leopardus geoffroyi (Geoffroy's cat), 1251 nucleotides. RefSeq lists it as uncharacterized. The record is from RefSeq and is a predicted model, not a curated record. NCBI's taxonomy places the organism in Eukaryota, Metazoa, Chordata, Mammalia, Carnivora, Felidae. The transcript has 2 exons.
GAUGGACGCGGAUAAAGCAUUUUUAAAAGACAACCUGAAACGUCACACUGACUGCAACACAGAAUGUGUUCAGAUCAGAAGACCCUGUCCCCACUACUGAUGCAUCACCAGAUCCAUCCCAAGUGGACUCCUCUCCUCCUACAGCCUUUCUCGAGAUCCCUACCUGGAAGCGACCCUUCCCUUUCCAAGCCCCAGAUCAUUCAUAUACUGCGUGGAGUUAGGAUGAUGUUUCUCCUGUCUUUUCACGUGGUCCCUGCUCACUGGCAGUGAAUGCCCUGGAGGGCCAAAGACCAGGGAAGAAACUCAACACAAGCUGCUUGAAGGCGACGGUAGGAGGAAGAAGAAAGCAGGAAAUCAUUGCAAGCAGGGUGGGCAUGGACGAUGGGGGACAAGGCACUCACAGACUGCAUCACCAUGGGGUUCUUUUCAAGGACGGACUGGGGCUUUCUGGCCUUGGCUGAGGGCCACCCAACAGUCUGAGCUCUCCUCCCGGACAUGGCAGCCAUGGGGCAACCUCAUGGACUGUUCAGGAAAGUGAGAAAGAUGGAGUCUAUGGGGGAUGCGAGGUCAGGCAGUCAGGAUACAGUUCCGAGGGUGUUAAAGUCCACACCCAGUGAUCCUGGCCCUCUGGCUGUGUCCAGGGCACGAGAGCAAGCGUGUCAAUAUUUGUCCCGAAGCUAGUGUCGUAGAGUUGGAUGAGACCUCAGACACCAACUGACCCUUGGCCCCCACAUGUCAGGAGGGCAACUCGUCCUCAGAGGAGACAGCUUGCUCUGGUCACCAAGUGGGAGGGUGGCAGAGCCUUGAACAACUGGACAUUGGACCACCGUGCCCAGAGCACUUCUUUCUUCCCUGCUGCUGCCUCUGGAGGGGACUUCAGAGACAGAAGGCACUUGGCGCUCGUUUCUGAGCCCCCUGUCCAGGGCCCUAGACCCACAGAUUGACCCUCUGGGCCCACAGGCCUGGAUUCCUUGAUAGGAAAGCUCUCAAGGGCCGAAUAAGAAUCGCGCAGGCGGCCAGCUACUCUGACAUAGCACCUCUUCCGGAACACAAUUGCGAGGCUAAGACCCAAAAAGCCCUUAGUACAGUGCCUGGUUCGCAGUAGGCAGUUUUUACUGUAAAUUGUGAUUUCUUUGGAGCAGAAGCCCACAGAACCAGGCAAAAAAAUAAGUGGAUGUGAAGAGGAAGGUGUGGGCCCAGGUCCUACAAACUCCCAAACCUGUACCUUGCAAAAAAGUGUGAUUUGGAGUA